CUCCUACGGGAGGCAGCAGUAGGGAAUCUUCCGCAAUGGACGCAAGUCUGACGGAGCAACGCCGCGUGAGUGAAGAAGGAUUUCGGUUCGUAAAACUCUGUUGUUAGAGAAGGACAGCGCAUAGAGUAACUGUUAUGCGUGUGACGGUAUCUAACCAGAAAGCCACGGCUAACUACGUGCCAGCAGCCGCGGUAAUACGUAGGUGGCAAGCGUUGUCCGGAUUUAUUGGGCGUAAGGCGAGCGCAGGCGGUCAAUUAAGUCUGAUGUGAAAGCCCCCGGCUCAACCGGGGAGGGUCAUUGGAAACUGGUUGACUUGAGUGCAGAAGAGGAGAGUGGAAUUCCAUGUGUAGCGGUGAAAUGCGUAGAUAUAUGGAGGAACACCAGUGGCGAAGGCGACUCUCUGGUCUGUAACUGACGCUGAGGCUCGAAAGCGUGGGUAGCAAACAGGAUUAGAUACCCUGGUAGUCCACGCCGUAAACGAUGAGUGCUAAGUGUUGGAGGGUUUCCGCCCUUCAGUGCUGCAGUUAACGCAUUAAGCACUCCGCCUGGGGAGUACGACCGCAAGGUUGAAACUCAAAGGAAUUGACGG
RNAcentral lists this ribosomal RNA (589 nucleotides) under uncultured bacterium. RNAcentral describes it as "bacterial SSU rRNA". It matches the Rfam family "Bacterial small subunit ribosomal RNA", at positions 336 to 916 of the family's 1533-position model. The record is from RNAcentral.